CCUACGGGGGGCAGCAGUGGGGAAUAUUGCACAAUGGGGGAAACCCUGAUGCAGCGACGCCGCGUGAAGGAAGAAGUAUUUCGGUAUGUAAACUUCUAUCAGCAGGGAAGAAAAUGACGGUACCUGACUAAGAAGCCUCGGCUAACUACGUGCCAGCAGUCGCGGUAAUACGUAGGGGGCAAGCGUUAUCCGGAUUUACUGGGUGUAAAGGGAGCGUAGGCGGUUUAGUAAGUCAGAAGUGAAAGCCCGGGGCUCAACUCCGGGACUGCUUUUGAAACUGUUGAACUAGAUUGCAGGAGAGGUAAGUGGAAUUCCUAGUGUAGCGGUGAAAUGCGUAGAUAUUAGGAGGAACACCGGUGGCGAAGGCGGCUUGCUGGACGGUAACUGACGUUGAGGCUCGAAAGCGUGGGGAGCAAACAGGAUUAGAUACCCUUGUAGUC
Molecule: ribosomal RNA, 440 nt
Filed under: uncultured bacterium
Lineage: Bacteria
Description: partial 16S ribosomal RNA
Rfam family: Bacterial small subunit ribosomal RNA
Source: RNAcentral